Molecule: long non-coding RNA, 310 nt
Organism: Saccostrea cuccullata (small rock oyster)
Lineage: Eukaryota; Metazoa; Mollusca; Bivalvia; Ostreida; Ostreidae
Exons: 2
Source: RefSeq, a predicted model, not a curated record
UUUUUUGAUCGCAGUGACUUCUUUACGAGACCAAAGCUUAAGCUUUCUUAGCGAUGAUUUUAUGCCUAGUGUUCGCAUUCCUUUUUUGCAUUCCAACUGCAGAUUCAAUUUUAGGCCAAGCUGUUUGUGGAACUCGGUUAUACAAUCCUUCUUAUUCAAUCUGCUGCAAUGGAGAGGUAAAUGGGAAAGGCUUGAAUGCACGUUGCUGUGGAACUACAGCUUUUAAUCCUACUUUUAACCGUUGCUGCAAUGGAGUUAUUUGUUAGAUAUUGUUAUUGGCUUAUUCAAAUAAACCGUUUCAUUAUCUUAA